RNAcentral lists this ribosomal RNA (253 nucleotides) under uncultured bacterium. RNAcentral describes it as "partial 16S ribosomal RNA". It matches the Rfam family "Bacterial small subunit ribosomal RNA", at positions 524 to 776 of the family's 1533-position model. The record is from RNAcentral.
UACAGAGGGUGCGAGCGUUAAUCGGAAUUACUGGGCGUAAAGCGUGCGUAGACGGCUAUCUAAGUCGGGUGUGAAAGACCCUGACUCAACUGGGGGGUGUCGUGCGAUACGGUCGGACUGGAGGCCAGUAGGGGGAUGCGGAAUUCCGGGUGUAGUGGUGGAAUGCGUAGAGAUCCGGAGGAACACCAGCGGCGAAGGCGGCAUCCUGGACUGGUCCUGACACUCAGGAGCGAAAGCGUGGGGAGCGAUCCGG